RNAcentral lists this ribosomal RNA (253 nucleotides) under uncultured bacterium. RNAcentral's name for it is "partial 16S ribosomal RNA". It matches the Rfam family "Bacterial small subunit ribosomal RNA", at positions 524 to 776 of the family's 1533-position model. The record is from RNAcentral.
UACGUAGGGAGCAAGCGUUGUUCGGAUUUACUGGGCGUAAAGGGCGCGUAGGCGGCGCGGUAAGUCACCUGUGAAAUCUCUGAGCUUAACUCAGAACGGCCAAGUGAUACUGCAGUGCUAGAGUGCAGAAGGGGCAAUCGGAAUUCUUGGUGUAGCGGUGAAAUGCGUAGAUAUCAAGAGGAACACCUGAGGUGAAGACGGGUUGCUGGGCUGACACUGACGCUGAAGCGCGAAAGCCAGGGGAGCAAACGGG